This is a long non-coding RNA of Camelus dromedarius (Arabian camel), 1112 nucleotides long. RefSeq lists it as uncharacterized. The record is from RefSeq and is a predicted model, not a curated record. NCBI's taxonomy places the organism in Eukaryota, Metazoa, Chordata, Mammalia, Artiodactyla, Camelidae. The transcript is spliced from 5 exons.
CCCAGUGUCGCCAGUCGGCUCGCUCCUUCUGCCCGGCUGCUUGGGGUCCCUCGGCUGGGCCUCGUGUUCCGCGUGGUGCCCGUGGUGGGUCGCACCUCCAAUAGUAUGCCGCUCUCACCUGUGCCCAUCACCACAGGUGGCAGUAUUGACUUCUCCUGACCUCAGGGAAUCUCAGAAUGAUGGCUCACAGAGGGUUUCCGUGGUUAUCUACUUCUGACUCUUGAAAGCUUUCAAGAAAUUGGACCUGACUGGUUCGGUGACUUGUCAAGGGACACCCAAUUUGUGACAAUCAGGAGGAAAACACAGUGCCGUUCACUUUCUCACAGGUGAAUCUCCUUGGCAAGGCUGCUGGCAGCUCUGGAGCUAACAGUGUAACUGGCCUGUGAUGUUACAUCCCCAAAGUCCUUAAUCCAACUGACAGCAGCAACUUCCUCUUAAUUAAAUGAAGAACUAAUAGUGGAGGAUUUAACCCAUUUUGCAGCUGUGAGUCACAGAAAUACAAACAAGUGUAAAACUCAUGAAAACAAAAUGAGCAGAAACUACAGAGAGUUCCUACGUACUUCCUGCCCGGCCACACAUACAGCCUUCUGGACUAUGAACAUUCUGCAACAGAGCCGUACAUUUGAAACACUCUGUGAACCUGUAUUGAUAUCUCAUUAUUGCCCCAAAUCCAUAGUUUAUAUUAGAGUUCACUCUUGGUGUUACACAGUCUAUGGGUUUUAAUGAUGUAUCCACCAUUAUACUAUCAUACAGAAUAGUUUCAUUGCCUAAAAAAAUCCCGUGUCCACUGCCUGUUCAUCUGUACCUCCCUUCUAAUCCCUGGUAACCACUGAUUUUUUUUUUUUACUGUCCCCAUAGUUUUGCCUUUCUUAGAAUGUCAUUAUAGUUUAAAUCAUACAGUAUGUAGCAUUUUCAGAUUGAUAUUUUUGACUUGGUAAUAUGCAUUUAAGGUUUUCCAUGUGUCUGUAUGGUUUGAUAGCACAUUCCUUUUUAGUACUGAAUAAUGUUCUAUUCUCUGAAUGUCCCCCAGUUUAUUUACCCAAUCUCCUACUGAAGGUCAUCUUGGUUAUUUCCAAGUUCUGGAAAUCAUAAAUAAAGAUGCUAUAAAUAUC